This is a non-coding RNA of Paramuricea clavata, 1191 nucleotides long. The record is from the annotation of a GenBank genome assembly. Lineage: Eukaryota; Metazoa; Cnidaria; Anthozoa; Malacalcyonacea; Plexauridae.
CUGGUACAAACUUAAGAGUCAAGACGUACCUAAGACUACUUCCGAGUCGUGUGUUUUUAUACCUACGUAUAGUUUACUGGUCCAAAAGCAAAGGUGUGGGUGUGUGCGUUAAACACUCAGGUCCACUAGAAUUAGGGCUUGUACGCCUGCGAACAGGUCGUAAAACAAAGAUGGCGGCUUUCUACAGGGUGAAGAGAAACUGUUUGUUUGACUCGAGGUUUGACUUUGGCUGACUGCUAAAUGUCCGAUAAAAAACUUUUUGUUUUUUCCUAGAAGAUUUUCCAAAGUAACAUCGUAAAGCUUUUUCGUGAGUGACCGUGCGUGCUUUUUUAAUAAUAUCGAUGGUUUAUUCAUAUAUUCAUAAUUAUUUUGUUAUGCAGACAUUCCAACUCUCCCGAUUUUACCGGGAGUAUCCCGAAAAUUCAUGCAAUCUCCCGGUCUCCCGAUUUUUAUCAAAUUCUCCCGAUUUUUCAGAAUAUUCAGGAAAUAUCAUAAAAAAAAUUAUAAAUGUACUGUUUUUAGCAACAUAAUAGUCUGUCUCGGACCUUUUUUGAAGUUACUUUAUGGCAAUUUAUAGGAUAUUUAUAACAACAUAGUCCCCAAAUGCAGGAAACGCCAUUUCAGAAGACUUAAUUUUUAUCUAAUGUUUACAACAUGAGCGGGCCGUGUUGUAUCAGAUAUACAAACUCGAGCCGAAGGCGAGAGUUCGUAUAUCUGAUACAACACGGACGCGAAUGUUGUAAACAACUUAAAAAACGACUCAACUUAUGAGUUCAUUGGCGAAGUAAUUUUAAAAAUAAACGUUGUCUAUUAGGCCGAGAAAAUCAAAGUUAAAGUUUAUGUAAAUCAACAUGAAUCUGUAUCACAUAUACAUGCAGAUACGACACGCUUAUGAUUUUUCUUUGUGUUUUCUUCAUGAAUUAUUAAUGAGUUUUUUAAUAUUUUUUCCCAGAAGAACUAGAUUUCAAUUCACUGAACAGUCUCCCUAACCUGGUUAUGGUAGCUACAUUUUAACAUUUAUAGUCGCAUCAUUUAGAUUUUAGAAUUAUGUUACGUCAAAAUUUUGUUUAUAUGGUGCAUUAGUCACAGGACAUCUUUAAUACAAUUAUAGGAUUGCUCAUAAGUUGAGUUUAAGUUAUUAAAUAAAAUGUAUUUACAGAUUGUAUGUAUUUUUUCAUUUUUAUAUAGAGC